RNAcentral lists this ribosomal RNA (885 nucleotides) under Polyascus gregaria. RNAcentral's name for it is "12S ribosomal RNA". The record is from RNAcentral. Lineage: Eukaryota; Metazoa; Arthropoda; Thecostraca; Sacculinidae.
AAUAGUUUUAUUACUUAUUAUAUUUUUAGGUAAUAAAUUUAAAUAAUUUAAUUUAUAUUUUAAUUAUAUUAUUUAUAUUUAUAUAAUCAUAUAUUAUUAUAUAUAAUUUAAAUUUAUAUGUAUUUUUUAGGUAUAAGAAUAAGUUAAUUUUUUUAAAAUGUAUUGUAAUUUUGUUAUAUGAAUAUGUAUUAUAAAUUAUUUUAUAGGAAUUAGAUAUAAUUAGUGUUUUAGGUAAAUGUUUUUUAUAAGUUUUACAAUUAAUGAGAGAAAUAGAGUGCCAGCCCUCGCGGUUAUACUUUAUCUUAUUUUUUAUUUAUAAUAAAGGUAUAUUUUGGUUUUAUAAAUAUUUGUUUGGAAAUAAAAUUAGGUAAAAUAUUUUUUUAUUUUUUUUUAAUAUUAUUAAUUUUAGUUUAAAGACAAGGAUUUGAUACCCUUUUAUUCUAAAAUUAUUUAAUCUUAAAUUAUUAUAUUUAUGAAAAAUUUUUAUAAUUUUGACGGCUGAAUAUCUAAUUAGAGGGACUUGAAAAUAUAAUUGAUAAUUCACGUUUAUAAAUUCUUAUUAUAUAAUUUAUUUGAAUAUCAUUGUUUAAUAAAUUUGAUUACAAGUUUUUGAGGUUUAUAAAAGAAUUAUUAUAUAAAACAAAUUAGAUUCAGAGUUUGUUAAGUUUUUUUGUGUUACUAUGGUUAAGAAUAAGGAUUUAAUAGUAAUUUUUUGUUAUUUUAAAAAGUUGAAUUAAGAUAUAUUCAGUGUACAUACUGCCCGUCAAUUCUUUUAUGAAUAAGUCGUAACAUGGUUAAUAUUUUGGAAAAAGUAUUAUUAUAAUUAUUUGUAUUAUUAUAAUAUAAUUAGAUAUUAUAUUGUUAUUUAUUUUAAUUCAGAUAGUU